AUGAACGCUGGCGGCGUGCCUAAUACCUGCAAGUCGAGCGAACAGACGAGGAGCUUGCUCCUCUGACGUUAGCGGCGGACGGGUGAGUAACACGUGGCUAACCUACCUAUAAGACUGGGAUAACUUCGGGAAACCGGAGCUAAUACCGGAUAAUAUAUUGAACCGCAUGGUUCAAUAGUGAAAGACGGUUUUGCUGUCACUUAUAGAUGGAUCCGCGCCGCAUUAGCUAGUUGGUAAGGUAACGGCUUACCAAGGCAACGAUGCGUAGCCGACCUGAGAGGGUGAUCGGCCACACUGGAACUGAGACACGGUCCAGACUCCUACGGGAGGCAGCAGUAGGGAAUCUUCCGCAAUGGGCGAAAGCUUGACGGAGCAACGCCGCGUGAGUGAUGAAGGUCUUCGGAUCGUAAAACUCUGUUAUUAGGGAAGAACAAAUGUGUAAGUAACUAUGCACGUCUUGACGGUACCUAAUCAGAAAGCCACGGCUAACUACGUG
This 496-nucleotide ribosomal RNA is filed under the name uncultured bacterium. RNAcentral's name for it is "partial 16S ribosomal RNA". It matches the Rfam family "Bacterial small subunit ribosomal RNA", at positions 29 to 507 of the family's 1533-position model. The record is from RNAcentral.